This is a long non-coding RNA of Colius striatus (speckled mousebird), 1385 nucleotides long. RefSeq lists it as uncharacterized. The record is from RefSeq and is a predicted model, not a curated record. Lineage: Eukaryota; Metazoa; Chordata; Aves; Coliiformes; Coliidae. The transcript is spliced from 3 exons.
UCUUGCACUGGGCCGAGCUCGCCGGCCUCGCCGACCUCGGGGGCGGAUCGGUCCCCGGUGGGUGCCGGGGCGGCGCACGGGACGUGCUUUGGGCUGCCGGGAGUAAAGGGUAGCCGGCGGGAACGCAGCUCCGGCUUUCGGCGGGAUCAGCCUCUCACUGCCUCUCACUUGGCCCCGCCGGCCUGCGGCGGGCUGUCCCCGCGCUGCCACCGCCCCGCUCGGCAGGGACGGAGGGGAAGGAGGAGACUGGCCAUCCCGCCCACGCGAGGACACGGCUCAUGGGGACGUGUCCCAUGGGGAUGCGCCGGCCGGGGCUGAGCAACACCCCAGCCCCCCCCGAGCCUGGACGUCCCCGUAGCAGCUCCCCACGUCCUGCGGGCAAACCAGGGAUCCCCGAGGGACGCAACAUCCGGUCAGAGAGGUUUGGGAACGCCCAGGACCGGGAACAGGCCACGCACACACUACCCCAACUUCUUUCUCCUCCGUCGCUCCCUUUUGAUUGGCAACGGGGCGGGUCUCGUUGGACUGUCCGCGUUUUGAUUGGCUAAAUUGAGGGGGCUGCACCCCGGGAUUGGCUGAGGUGCAGUUGGCUGAGAUGCUUAUAGGAGGUACAAUAGGUUGCGCAUGAGCUGAUAAGAGCCAAGAGAAGAGUUCAUGAGCGGGCCACUAGAGGAAGACUACUGACUUCAUCCCAGCGACCACCCUACGACCACCAGGAGGCAGAAGAAGACCCCCUAGUAACAAGACGGGCACAUGCGCAGAGUACACCAGGGAGCGAUGCACCCGACCGAUAAGGGCUGUAUAAAAGGACUGUGAUACGGCAGGGGGGUCACGAGCCGUUGGUGGAGCAGAGUCUCCCGGCCGCCCAGCGCUGUUUUGCUUAUUUGCCACUUGCUUAAUAAAUUCAAUCUAUGAGUCACUUAAAUUGGCCUGUGAACUUUAUCACAGCCAUUUAUAACACACUUGUUAAGCACUUGGUAAUAGUUUAAUCAAUUAGCUAAGCACUCGCAAAUAGCUCAAUCACAUAUUGAUUAAGUAUUCAUUUGAAUCACAUAAGGAUCAAACUGCAAGAGUUACAUACCACACCUGAUAUAAGGACCUGUUAAGACAAGACCCUGGUAAAUGUAUUUGUUAGGUUACCUUAGCUGUUACUAAAACAAAGAGACUGAUACCUUUUUUUAACCAAUCAGUACGAUAUUGGAAAUUUUAUAAUAGGAACCAAUUAAGGUAAAGGGCAAAUUAAGAGAUGGAUAUGUUAUGCAUGCUUUUGUUGGCAAAUGUAGUUCUUUGUUUGAAGUGUAAAAACCUUGAAAAUGGUAUCUAACAAUGAAGCACGUAUGGAGGAGCUAUCCCCCGUGUUUUCCCAGCGCUGCAUAAUAAAGAAG